This 253-nucleotide ribosomal RNA is filed under the name uncultured bacterium. Its description in RNAcentral is "partial 16S ribosomal RNA". It matches the Rfam family "Bacterial small subunit ribosomal RNA", at positions 524 to 776 of the family's 1533-position model. The record is from RNAcentral.
UACGUAGGGGGCAAGCGUUGUCCGGAGUUACUGGGCGUAAAGGGCAUGCAGGCGGUCGGACGCGUUUCGGGUGACAGCGGGUGGCUUAACUACCCGAGUGGUCGAAAGACGGUUUGACUUGAGGACGCGAGAGGGACACGGAAUUCCGGGUGGAGUGGUGAAAUGCGUAGAGAUCCGGAGGAACACCGAAGGCGAAGGCAGUGUCCUGGCGCGUAACUGACGCUGAGGUGCGAAAGCCAGGGGAGCGAACGGG